RNAcentral lists this ribosomal RNA (433 nucleotides) under uncultured bacterium. Its description in RNAcentral is "partial 16S ribosomal RNA". It matches the Rfam family "Bacterial small subunit ribosomal RNA", at positions 29 to 507 of the family's 1533-position model. The record is from RNAcentral.
AGCGAACGCUGGCGGCAGGCUUAACACAUGCAAGUCGAGCGGGCCUUUCGGGGUCAGCGGCGGACGGGUGAGUAACGCGUGGGAACGUUCCCUCUUGUUCGGAAUAACUCAGGGAAACUUGAGCUAAUACCGGAUACGCCCUUUUGGGGAAAGGCUUGCUGCCGGAGGAUCGGCCCGCGUCUGAUUAGCUAUUUGGUGAGGUAACGGCUCACCAAGGCGACGAUCAGUAGCUGGUCUGAGAGGAUGAUCAGACACACUGGGACUGAGACACGGCCCAGACUCCUACGGGAGGCAGCAGUGGGGAAUAUUGGACAAUGGGCGCAAGCCUGAUCCAGCCAUGCCGCGUGAGUGAUGAAGGCCUUAGGGUUGUAAAGCUCUUUUAUCCGGGACGAUAAUGACGGUACCGGAGGAAUAAGCCCCGGCUAACUUCGUG